AUUAGGAUGUCUGAUUUAGGUGAUAAAUUGUAAAUUUAUUUAAGGUAAAAAACCUCCUACUA
This 62-nucleotide transfer RNA is filed under the name Oecleopsis sinicus. RNAcentral describes it as "tRNA-Tyr". The record is from RNAcentral. Lineage: Eukaryota; Metazoa; Arthropoda; Insecta; Hemiptera; Cixiidae.